Molecule: ribosomal RNA, 241 nt
Filed under: uncultured bacterium
Lineage: Bacteria
Description: partial 16S ribosomal RNA
Rfam family: Bacterial small subunit ribosomal RNA
Source: RNAcentral
UGGGUAACCUGCCUCAAAGAGGGGAAUAGCCUCCCGAAAGGGAGAUUAAUACCGCAUAAUAUGUUUAGGUCGCAUGACUUUAACAUCAAAGGAUUUUCUUUAGAAAUUCCACUUUGAGAUGGACCCGCGGCGCAUUAGCUAGUUGGUGAGGUAACGGCUCACCAAGGCAACGAUGCGUAGCCGACCUGAGAGGGUNAUCGGCCACAUUGGAACUGAGACACGGUCCAGCUCCGUAGGGAGG